GUUUUCAGAUUCAUCACUUGACAACUUCCUGUUUACCGAACACUUGUAUGAUUUUACACAUGAUAGCCAAGUUGAAAAUUUUCGUCACAUUUUUCUCAGGAACUACAAUACAAGGAUUUCUGAAAUUUUGUUUCAGGAUUUAUAUAAGUCAGCUUUACCGUGUGAUGCGAUUUCAGAUUCAUCACUUGACAACUUCCUGUUUACCGAACACUUGUAUGAUUUUACACAUGAUAGCCAAGUUGAAAAUUUUCGUCACAGUUUUCUCAGGAACUACAAUACAAGGAUUUCUGAAAUUUGGUUUCAGCAUUUAUAUAAGUCAGCUAUACCGUGUGAUGUGUUUUCAGAUUCAUCACUCGACAACUUCCUGUUUACCGAACACUGGUAUGAUUUUACACAUGAUAGCCAAGUUGAAAAUUUUCGUCACAUUUUUCCCAGGAA
This 438-nucleotide long non-coding RNA is filed under the name Mytilus galloprovincialis (Mediterranean mussel). Lineage: Eukaryota; Metazoa; Mollusca; Bivalvia; Mytilida; Mytilidae. The record is from RNAcentral.